GCUUAAAUAGUUUAUCUAGAACAUUAAAUUGUGGUUUUAAAAGAACAAAUAUAGUUUUAAGCA
RNAcentral lists this transfer RNA (63 nucleotides) under Dimorphostylis asiatica. RNAcentral describes it as "tRNA-His". Lineage: Eukaryota; Metazoa; Arthropoda; Malacostraca; Cumacea; Diastylidae. The record is from RNAcentral.